AGUGUAGGCGGAAAUUCAAGUCAGUGGUGAAAUCUUGCAGCUUAACUGUAAAACUGCCAUUGAUACUGUUUUUCUUGAGUAUAGUUGAGGUAGGCGGAAUGUGUAAUGUAGCGGUGAAAUGCUUAGAUAUUACACAGAACACCGAUUGCGUAGGCAGCUUACUAAACUAUAACUGACGCUGAGGCACGAAAGCGUGGGGAGCGAACAGGAUUAGAUACCCUGGUAGUCC
Molecule: ribosomal RNA, 229 nt
Filed under: uncultured bacterium
Lineage: Bacteria
Description: partial 16S ribosomal RNA
Rfam family: Bacterial small subunit ribosomal RNA
Source: RNAcentral